Molecule: long non-coding RNA, 276 nt
Filed under: Setaria viridis
Lineage: Eukaryota; Viridiplantae; Streptophyta; Magnoliopsida; Poales; Poaceae
Description: long non-coding RNA (SVIR_LNC007245)
Source: RNAcentral
GGAGGAGAGAGAGAACGGCGGGCUGGAUGGGAAGAGGCCUGGCCUGUGUACAUGUCAUGGAAACAUAUUCGUGUCAUGGAAACAUAUCGAAUGCUUUUACGUUUUCUCUUUGUGAGUGGAUUACGCCGUUUCGUUUUUUCGGUGAUGGAAGAACAGGGGGUUACGUGGCAUCGAUUUGUAAUAACAAAAAAAUUCGUGUUGAAAUCCGAUUUCAUAUCACAGUGUUGCAUUCCUUCCACCACAUUGCGUAUAGCUUUGAAUGCUCCUAUAGUGUAC